ACCACCGAGCGGCGGGUAG
RNAcentral lists this small nuclear RNA (19 nucleotides) under Arabidopsis thaliana (thale cress). RNAcentral's name for it is "snRNA_13505". The record is from RNAcentral. Lineage: Eukaryota; Viridiplantae; Streptophyta; Magnoliopsida; Brassicales; Brassicaceae.